UCUCCUAUAGCUCAGUGGUAGAGCACUGGUCUCGUAAACCAGGGGUCGGGAGUUCAAUCCUCACAGGAGGU
Molecule: non-coding RNA, 71 nt
Organism: Ciona savignyi (Pacific transparent sea squirt)
Lineage: Eukaryota; Metazoa; Chordata; Ascidiacea; Phlebobranchia; Cionidae
Source: Rfam